RNAcentral lists this transfer RNA (72 nucleotides) under Thiobacillus denitrificans. It matches the Rfam family "tRNA". From Rfam's summary of the family: Transfer RNA (tRNA) molecules are approximately 80 nucleotides in length. Their secondary structure includes four short double-helical elements and three loops (D, anti-codon, and T loops). Further hydrogen bonds mediate the characteristic L-shaped molecular structure. tRNAs have two regions of fundamental functional importance: the anti-codon, which is responsible for specific mRNA codon recognition, and the 3' end, to which the tRNAs corresponding amino acid is attached (by aminoacyl-tRNA synthetases). tRNAs cope with the degeneracy of the genetic code in two manners: having more than one tRNA (with a specific anti-codon) for a particular amino acid; and 'wobble' base-pairing, i.e. permitting non-standard base-pairing at the 3rd anti-codon position. The record is from Rfam by way of RNAcentral. Lineage: Bacteria; Pseudomonadati; Pseudomonadota; Betaproteobacteria; Nitrosomonadales; Thiobacillaceae.
GCCCGCGUAGCUCAGAGGUAGAGCACUCCCUUGGUAAGGGAGAGGUCGACAGUUCGAUUCUGUCCGCGGGCA